GAAAGAGGAGAGCGAUGCGAGUCCGUUCCAAACCAUAAACGCGGUCGAGGAGGCGGUUUCCGAGAAGGUUCACGGCGGCGCCAUGGCCGGGAGUUUGCCGGAGUAGAGGAAAACACACUACGGUGGACGAAACUUCAAUCCAAGAGCACGGGAGGCAAGAGGAGCUCACCGCGAACCCGACUACGCCGAGAGCAAGGGC
Molecule: long non-coding RNA, 199 nt
Filed under: Sorghum bicolor (sorghum)
Lineage: Eukaryota; Viridiplantae; Streptophyta; Magnoliopsida; Poales; Poaceae
Description: long non-coding RNA (SBIC_LNC011669)
Source: RNAcentral